GGCCAGACUCCUACGGGAGGCAGCAGUGGGGGAUAUUGCACAAUGGGGGAAACCCUGAUGCAGCGACGCCGCGUGUGGGAAGACGGUCCUCUGGAUUGUAAACCACUGUCCCCAGGGACGAAGAUGACGGUACCUGGGGAGGAAGCUCCGGCUAACUACGUGCCAGCAGCCGCGGUAAUACGGGGGGUGCAAGCGUUGUCCGGAAUCAUUGGGCGUAAAGCGUUCGUAGGCGGCAAGGUAAGUCUGAUGUUAAAGCCCGGGGCUCAACUCCGGUUCGGCAUUGGAUACUAUCUAGCUAGAAUGUGGUAGAGGUAAUGGGAAUUCCUGGUGUAGCGGUGAAAUGCGUAGAUAUCAGGAGGAACAUCGGUGGCGAAAGCGCUUUACUGGACCAUUAUUGACGCUGAGGAACGAAAGCCAGGGGAGCAAAUGGGAUUAGAUACCCGUGUAGC
Molecule: ribosomal RNA, 449 nt
Filed under: uncultured bacterium
Lineage: Bacteria
Description: partial 16S ribosomal RNA
Rfam family: Bacterial small subunit ribosomal RNA
Source: RNAcentral